Molecule: ribosomal RNA, 460 nt
Filed under: uncultured bacterium
Lineage: Bacteria
Description: partial 16S ribosomal RNA
Rfam family: Bacterial small subunit ribosomal RNA
Source: RNAcentral
CCUACGGGAGGCAGCAGUGAGGAAUAUUGGUCAAUGGACGAGAGUCUGAACCAGCCAAGUAGCGUGAAGGAUGACUGCCCUAUGGGUUGUAAACUUCGUUUAUAUGGGAAUAAAAUGUUCCACGUGUGUGAUUUUGUAUGUACCAUAUUAAUAUGGAACGGCUAACUCCGUGCCAGCAGCCGCGGUAAUACGGAGGAUCCGAGCGUUAUCCGGAUUUAUUGGGUUUAAAGGGAGCGUAGGUGGAUUGUUAAGUCAGUUGUGAAAGUUUGCGGCUCAACCGUAAAAUUGCAGUUGAAACUGGCAGUCUUGAGUACAGUAGAGGUGGGCGGAAUUCGUGGUGUAGCGGUGAAAUGCUUAGAUAUAACGAAGAACUCCGAUUGCGAAGGCAGUUCACUGGACUGCAACUGACACUGAGGCUCGAAAGUGUGGGUAUCAAACAGGAUUAGAUACCCGUGUAGUC